RNAcentral lists this ribosomal RNA (133 nucleotides) under uncultured bacterium. Its description in RNAcentral is "partial 16S ribosomal RNA". It matches the Rfam family "Bacterial small subunit ribosomal RNA", at positions 355 to 502 of the family's 1533-position model. The record is from RNAcentral.
UGGGGAAUUUUCCGCAAUGGGCGAAAGCCUGACGGAGCAAUACCGCGUGAGGGAUGACGGCCUAUGGGUUGUAAACCUCUUUUUUCAGGGAGGAAUAAAUGACGUGUACCUGAAGAAUAAGCAUCGGCUAACU